GCUGGAGUACUUCGAGGGCCUGGGCUACCGCUGCCCCGAGAACACCGACGCCCCAGACUUCCUGCAGGAGCUGCCCACCCCUGACGGCAGGCGCUUCGUCU
RNAcentral lists this non-coding RNA (101 nucleotides) under uncultured eukaryote. The record is from RNAcentral.